AACAACCCGGAAUUAAUUUGGAUAUACACUUUGUAACAACUAAUUCGGACGUGCCGUGACACGUAUAUAUAUGACUAAUUAAAGAGUACAAAAAGUUAUUUUCUCUCAGUUUCUAUAUUAGCCGAGACAAGCUUAUUAAUUACCGGCCGGAACAUCGGGACAUGACGUUAAAACCGGGACGAAUGGCCACCCUAUUUAUGGGCUUUUAAUAUCUUAAAAAUGCGUGAACGUAGCUAUUUUUCUAAAACCUACAAACCUACCACGCGGUUGGCGGUCAUUAUUAAACAGUUAUAUUAUAACACUAUUAAUUUAAUAUUUAUAUUUUUAGUUUUUAGUUUUUAAUUUUUUUUUGAGAAUUAAACAUUCCAAGGCUGUUCUCGUAUAUCGUUUACAUUAUUCAAGGGCUGCUCGCCAAAGGGCUAAUAAAUUAAUCAAAUUAUUUAAAAUUUGCAGGUUUUUUUUAUAUUGUUGAAAGUAAUAUACUAAUACACAAUAAAGUCAAUAUAUUGUAGAGAAAUAUACUAUAUAAUAAAAUGAAUAAUCAAUAAACUUACACUGAUUGCCCCUCAACUUUACACAAAAAGAUCCACCGAAAUAAAUCGAUCGACAACGAAAAACAACCCAAGCAGAACUAAUCGCACCGGUCUCGAAACACGAUGUCGUUGGAGGAUUUGACUAUUGUCUACCGACAAGUACCGAUAUCGUAUGGUCGGUUAUCUGAUCGAUGAUGAGAUGGACUACGGGAGUGUAUAAUGAUGUGACCAGGCGCGUCUUGCAACCACCAGCCACCCCAUCGCUAUAAAUCAAUGAGCCACCCGUGGGCCGCAUAUAAUAAUAAUGCGCAUGUUCCCCAGGACACAUACAUGGAAUAAAAAUUUAUUCAGUCUAGCGACAAACAGCCAGUGAGCAGCAGCCAUUAUAUUCACUAAGCCAUCCUGCGUACCCACCACCCACAGCGGCAACGGGCUACAAAGCGCAAGUCACUAUAAAUCACCUCCAAAUAUACUUUUCUAUGGUCAACUACUAACGACGCCAUUACCUAUAUCGUUUUUCACGUCAUCAAACUAAAUCUAUUAGUUUUGACAGCAUUUCUAAUAGACCCUAGUCUGUGCACCGACAUCGACGUAAUUAUACGAUUCAAAAGCGAUGAACUUUGCACAGCUGGUAUAAAUCAUCGUUGGUUUUUGCAGUUUACAAAAUAAAACUUAUCAUGAGGAAUUACAGGAAAAUUGAAAUAACAGACAGUAAAGACAGUAAUGCACAAAGUAUUAUUCAGGAUAGCUGGAUCGAUUAUGACUUGGAAUCAAUUCGUCUGGAUUUAUUAGUACUUUCUAGAUUAAUCCGGACCGUCGACAGUGUUGUUUUUGAGUUGAUGGCGAAGAAAACUUAAUAGCAACUAGAUAAAACUAAUUUUUGAUUUAGUAAUAACUAAUAAGCCCAUACACUAACAGUCAAAAAUGAAUUUGUAUAUGAUAUCAUUACCUAUAAAAUGUAUGUUUACCUUCAAUCACCUAUUACAAAAGAUAGAUAAAUAAUGUAAUAUAUUCAAUUUUUUUUAUUAACUUCAAAGCAAGUAUUCUAAUAAUUGAUUAUGAAAUUAAAUCUAUAUAAUUAAAAUACACAGGUUCAACAAUAUUUUGUAUGGACUUAAGUAUUUUUCACUUUGCUUAUAAAACUUUUGAGUUCUGCUUUUCGCUUUUUGAUAAAUACCAUAAUACGCAUAAGGAUUAUCAAUUUAGUUGUUAAAUGGUUAUCCUGAUUCCUGGUAUUUUUUUUUUUUACAUAUAAUAGAAUUUGAAAAAAACUAUGCAGUGUUUUUUUUUUUUUAUAGUUUGUUUUAAACAGUUUAAACGAUUAAUUCAUAAUUGUAUUGUAGUAUGUACUUAGUACGCUAGUGCUACCUAAACAAACAAUAAACAAUUAUAAAUAACACUACUGUAACCAUUUGAACAAAUAUUAUUUUUAAUAGAUAAGUUCCGCAAAAAUAUAUACAGCGGAACUUCGAUUAUCCAGGGCAAUGAUGAGGAGGGAGUCACGUGGAUAAAUGAAAACCAGGCACGGUUAAUCGAGACAUUUUAUAAUAAUGCAUUUUUUUAUUUAUUUAUAAUUAGAAAUUCAUACAAUGUUAUAUAUCCACAAUAUUAUAGGUAUAUAAUAAAUUAUCAAGGCUUAAAAUAUGAA
This is a long non-coding RNA of Rhopalosiphum padi (bird cherry-oat aphid), 2181 nucleotides long. RefSeq lists it as uncharacterized. Lineage: Eukaryota; Metazoa; Arthropoda; Insecta; Hemiptera; Aphididae. The record is from RefSeq and is a predicted model, not a curated record. The transcript has 4 exons.